This 524-nucleotide ribosomal RNA is filed under the name uncultured bacterium. Its description in RNAcentral is "partial 16S ribosomal RNA". It matches the Rfam family "Bacterial small subunit ribosomal RNA", at positions 28 to 523 of the family's 1533-position model. The record is from RNAcentral.
GACGAACGCUGGCGGCGUGCCUAAUACAUGCAAGUCGAACGAAGCUGUUUUAACUGGUGCUUGCACCGACUUAAACAACUGAGUGGCGAACGGGUGAGUAACACGUGGGUAACCUGCCCCAAAGCGGGGGAUAACAUUUGGAAACAGAUGCUAAUACCGCAUAAUCACAGAAACCACAUGGUUUCUGUGUCAAAGAUGGUUUCGGCUAUCACUUUGGGAUGGACCCGCGGCGUAUUAGCUAGUUGGUAAGGUAAUGGCCUACCAAGGCAAUGAUACGUAGCCGAACUGAGAGGUUGAUCGGCCACAUUGGGACUGAGACACGGCCCAAACUCCUACGGGAGGCAGCAGUAGGGAAUCUUCCACAAUGGACGAAAGUCUGAUGGAGCAACGCCGCGUGAGUGAAGAAGGUUUUCGGAUCGUAAAACUCUGUUGUCAGAGAAGAACGUGUGCGAGAGUAACUGUUCGUGCAGUGACGGUAUCUGGCCAGAAAGCCACGGCUAACUACGUGCCAGCAGCCGCCAUAA